AUGGGAGCAGUUUGUGACACUUCCCAAACCUCAGGCAAGGCUCCACCCCAACGGGUCAGAAGAGGGUUCAUAUGCACCUCCUUAGGCACCCUGUUCCCCAGCCCCUCUGCCCACGGCCUGAGGGAAAGGCCCAGCAGCUCCCAGCGGCGUUUGGCUUGGGCACCGACUGACACGCAUCCUGCAGACCUUCUGCACACCCAGAUGAGCUCCGCGGAUGACGUGUUACUGGAUGAUGGAGGUGAACGUCCCCAGCUUGUCUGUGUUUCUCAGGCAGCCUCAGCAGAGCCUGGAGCAGGACGCCCCGCUCCCCGUCAGCGCUGCGAAGACACGAGCUGGGUCAGCUCAGCGCGGUCUCCGCUUGCUCAUCGCCAUCCUUUUAGAUCACUGUUUAUUUCCCAAGAAGCACUGCAGUCAGACUUCCCAGAUGUGUUUGUUAGCCAGGAAUUUCUAGAGACUAAGGAGGAACUGAAGUCACUUUGUCCUGUCUGUAACCAGUUCCUGCUGGAGAAAAAGAAGAAUGGAAAAAAAGAAACCCAGAUCAUCCCUUUGUCAGACACAGACUGAAGCUGUGAAGAUGUUCAGUUCUCCAGGCCUCCACAUUUUGUCGUGUUUUCCAGCCAUCGGAUAUUUUUCCCAGCUCUUCCCAAGCACUUGGGUGACACCAGAGUGGAGCGAGCACAGGGACCUUGUCACCCUUGCAAGAAAUGAUGUAAUUUCCAGGACUCUUCUUUGGCAUAUCUAGAACUGUGCCACCGAGGAAGCAGUCAGAUCAUUAUCCAAAUUUCCAGAUGGGGAAACUGAGGUGCUGGAGGAUGAAAUAACUUGUCCGAUGUUGGCAGAGGAGAGCUAAAAGGGGGAGUGCAGCCGUCUCUGGCCACAGCUACAUGGUCCAGGCAGCCUGCAGCAUCCUCAAUGGCAGAUGGACCAUCAAGGAGUCAGGCUGUACCGGUGAGGUCUGUGCACUGAGCUGCUUCUGCAGAGAUGCUCCUAGAGCCUGCUGGGGCAGGACUGCUUGAACAAUGCUGGCUGUGGAGAUUCCUUGAGGAGUGGCAGAGCAUGUCUGCCUGCAGAUCUGCUGUGCACGAGCCCCUUUCUCAUUCUUCGGAAGUCCUGAGGAACCAAGCUGCUUCAUGGAAGUGGCCAGAAUUCUGAGAAGAGGAUUUUUUCUCUCUCCUAUGUGUAAAUGAGACCCACCCAGGUACCUUAGCACAGAGGUAUCAUAGAAAAAGCAUGUGUAGAAUGUCGGGUGGGUUUAUUUGAGUUGCAAGGGUGUGUGUGCUCUGCGCAUCACACCGAAUGUUCAUCACAAGCUUUUCAGCACUAUGUAGGGCUCGUGUCAUGGAGCAGAUCAGACUAGAUAGUCCUCACGCUAGGUAAGGGUCUUAAAAUUGUACAUUUAUUCCCCAGGUUGCAAGCAUUUUAGGGAAGAAAGGAGAUCUGAAAUAGAGGUUGUCUUCUGAGCUGAAGUUCUGUUAUCUCCAUCACUGGGUCCACCCGAUUUAUUUACAUUCUUUGCAUUAGAAUUUCUUGCUUUCACCUACCUACUCUCAGUACACUACAACUGUUUCACAAUCAAAAUAUAACAGCAUGAAAACAGCUGGAACUCUUUCCAUCUCUCCAUUCCCAUUUGUGUAGGGAAGGCAUCGACUGAAGGAGACCAUUACCUCCAGAUGUCAGGACAUCUGGGAGAGGGGUCAGGCUUGGAGCUGGUUUGUCCUCUGUGGGAUGUAAGCAGAAGCAGUACCUGGGCAGGCAAGUAUUUGAAUUUUAGUGGUAGGACAGUGCUAAAAAAUACCGUAAAAACAUUUCCUUGCUUUUUUUUCAUUGGGGGAGUCUCUAUUUGUCUCAUCAGCUGCCUCUGGCUUUUUGCCCAGCGUUCUCGGAUCUCCUGGUAAAGGGAGACAGCAGAGCAUGUUUGUCCUAUUUCUCUUCCCUUGUGUGAGAUGCCAGACUGAAGCAGAUAAAGGCACUGCUCCUGGUCUAAGCACACACCACAGGGGAGGCUCCAGUCUGCUCAGCCCCCUCCUACAUCUGCCCUGACACAUCCAGUGGCCCAGGACAGGGCUGAGUUACCUCCGUUUGCUGGCAGCCCUCAGGAGCACAGCUCAGUGCUGUCGGCAUCCCUGCAAACCUUUGUGAACGCUCCUGAAAUAGGGGUGAUGGUCUCUCUAGGACAGGCACACACAGUUCCAGGUGUGCAGGAUCACACUGGGUGGACUUCAGUUCCUGGGAACUUUUUGCAGUUGAAGAGAUUUGCAUUGAGGGUUCCUGGUGAAAAUUUGACUUCCCAUCUCAAUGUGCACCAUCCGUGCCCGUUUUCUCUGUAGGAAUGGCUGUAUUUCUGUUGCACUGGAUGCAUGGUAUAUAAAGCAUUUGGGACGAAAAAGUCUGUAGAAGCGUGAUACUAAUAAUAUUUUACAGUUUUAAUUACCAUGAUUGUAGUGCCUUGAGGCGUAUGCAAAAACAUUUUGAGUGGGAGGAGAGAAGGCAGUGCUGUGAACAUUUUUGUGGUUUUGCUGGGCAAUGUGUAAUUGAGUUUUCUCAUGGGAACCACGGCGUGCCAGGGAGCAAAGCUGCCCCUGCCUCCUCCCCUGCUCCGCCAGGAUCCCGGACCCAACCCCAAAGUCAAGGAGAUAUAACCACAGUUACUCCAGUUUCAGGCAGAAGCUGGGCUGAUGGUGCCUCCGCUUUGCAGAGGGGCUUCCAGUGCAGGUGCUGCCUGUUUCUGCAGGCAACAGGUUGUUUUUCCUCAGGCAACAUCCCUUCUGUAAAAUCAGUGGCAGUUUCGCCUGCGGGAUGAUUUUAGGAUUGGGCAAUGGCUGAUUUGUGGCAGGGAUUUGCUGGCAGCCUUGAGGGCAGCGUUGCCUGUUUCUCGGUCAGGGCACGCAAUGUAGCCGCCCACCCGUCCGAGCCGUGCCUGCGUGGGCAGGGGAGGCGAGGGGACAGACAGAGGGACCUUGUGUAGCUGGGCGAGCCCUCCGGCACCCGCCUCGGCACCUUCCAGCACCCUUCCUGCGGGAGCCUGCAGGGCAGCAGCAACAGGCCUAAUGCAAAGUGGUCACCACUAACUUAAAGGUAGGAAAAUAGCCCAUGCAGGAAGGGAAAGUUCUUAGAUCUAGGUGUAAGAAAUAAAAAUUAUGUGGAAUAAUGAUGCUUGCGUUUUCCUAGCUACAGUAUAUAGUCCUGCAUCUUUAGAAAACAUUUUUUAAGCUUUGUCCCUAGACCAUAUCUUCAUUUUCAGACAUAUUUAUGUAGUUUCUGACAGUGAUUUGCCAUAGGUUCAUAAUUAGGAUGCUACGAAGGCAGUAGCCCUUUAUUUGAAAAACUGUGGAUGCCCCAUCCCUGGGAACACUCAAGGGCAGGCUGGACGGGCUCUGAGUAACCUGGUCUAGUGGAAGGUGUCCCUGCUCAUUGCAGAGAGUUGGAAGCAGAUGAUCUUUAAGGUCCCUUCCAACCCAAACCAUUCCAUGAUUCUAUGAAAUUCAGUUUUAUCUGGUUACCAGAGGCAGUCCGUGACUCAACAGUUACAACGAUGCCUUUGACAGCCAUGGGGUUGACUGGAGGGCAACAGAACCUAAAAGGAAACCCUGUGUGAUAGGUAUUCCCAGCUAAGAGAAGAGUUGGACGUUGCCUACAAGACAAGUGCAUUUUACUGAGACUGUUUUUCCUCACACUCUAUUUUCCCCUUCCCCCAUUCCAUACUUUUCUAUUGUUAUCUGCAUUAAAUAUGAUUUACGCUAUUGAAAACUCAGAUUUUAAUCAACUCUCCAUCAAUUAAAUACAUGGUAUUGUUUGUCCUCA
Columba livia (rock pigeon) is the source of this 3801-nucleotide RNA transcript. RefSeq lists it as uncharacterized. The transcript has 7 exons. The record is from RefSeq and is a predicted model, not a curated record. NCBI's taxonomy places the organism in Eukaryota, Metazoa, Chordata, Aves, Columbiformes, Columbidae.